GAUGAGAACGCAGCGAAAUGCGAUAAGUAAUGUGAAUUGCAGAAUUCAGUGAAUCAUCGAAUCGUUGAACGCACAUUGCGCCCGCCAGUAUUCUGGCGGGCAUGCCUGUCUGAGCGUCAUUUCAACCCUCAUGCCCCUAGGGCGUGGUGUUGGGGAUCGGCCAAAGCCCGCGAGGGACGGCCGGCCCCUAAAUCUAGUGGCGGACCCGUCGUGGCCUCCUCUGCGAAGUAGUGAUAUUCCGCAUCGGAGAGCGAUGAGCCCCUGCCGUUAAACCCCCAACUUUCCAAGGUUGACCUCAGAUCAGGUAGGAAUACCCGCUGAACUUAAGCAUAUCAAUAAGCGGAGGA
This 347-nucleotide unclassified non-coding RNA is filed under the name soil metagenome. RNAcentral's name for it is "partial contains 5.8S ribosomal RNA, internal transcribed spacer 2, and large subunit ribosomal RNA". The stretch from base 5 to 119 matches the Rfam family "5.8S ribosomal RNA", at positions 40 to 154 of the family's 154-position model. The record is from RNAcentral.